Molecule: ribosomal RNA, 566 nt
Filed under: uncultured bacterium
Lineage: Bacteria
Description: partial 16S ribosomal RNA
Rfam family: Bacterial small subunit ribosomal RNA
Source: RNAcentral
UGGGGAAUUUUGGACAAUGGGGGAAACCCUGAUCCAGCCAUCCCGCGUGUGCGAUGAAGGCCUUCGGGUUGUAAAGCACUUUUGGCAGGAAAGAAACGUCGCGGGUUAAUACCCCGCGAAACUGACGGUACCUGCAGAAUAAGCACCGGCUAACUACGUGCCAGCAGCCGCGGUAAUACGUAGGGUGCAAGCGUUAAUCGGAAUUACUGGGCGUAAAGCGUGCGCAGGCGGUUCGGAAAGAAAGAUGUGAAAUCCCAGAGCUUAACUUUGGAACUGCAUUUUUAACUACCGGGCUAGAGUGUGUCAGAGGGAGGUGGAAUUCCGCGUGUAGCAGUGAAAUGCGUAGAUAUGCGGAGGAACACCGAUGGCGAAGGCAGCCUCCUGGGAUAACACUGACGCUCAUGCACGAAAGCGUGGGGAGCAAACAGGAUUAGAUACCCUGGUAGUCCACGCCCUAAACGAUGUCAACUAGCUGUUGGGGCCUUCGGGCCUUGGUAGCGCAGCUAACGCGUGAAGUUGACCGCCUGGGGAGUACGGUCGCAAGAUUAAAACUCAAAUGAAUUGAC